AGCAGCCGCGGUAAUUCCAGCUCCAAUAGCGUAUAUUAAAGUUGUUGCAGUUAAAAAGCUCGUAGUUGAAUUUCGGGAUCAAUACGUCGGUCGUGCUUCGGUACAUACUGGCGUAAUUGAUUUCUCCCUUCUGACGAACCAUGAUGUCAUUAACUUGGUGUCAUGGGAAAUCAGGACUGUUACUUUGAAAAAAUUAGAGUGUUUAAAGCAGGCUCACGCUUGAAUACAUUAGCAUGGAAUAAUGAAAUAGGACGUUUGAUUCUAUUUUGUUGGUUUCUAGGAUCGACGUAAUGAUUAAUAGGGAUAGUUGGGGGCAUUAGUAUUCAAUUGUCAGAGGUGAAAUUCUUGGAUUUAUUGAAGACUAACUACUGCGAAAGCAUUUGCCAAGGAUGUUUUCAUUAAUCAAGAACGAAAGUUAGGGGAUCGAAGACGAUCAGAUACCGUCGUAGUCUUAACCAUAAACUAUGCCGACUAGGGAUCGGAUGAUGUUAAUUUUUUAAUGA
This 503-nucleotide ribosomal RNA is filed under the name uncultured Glomus. RNAcentral's name for it is "SSU rRNA". It matches the Rfam family "Eukaryotic small subunit ribosomal RNA", at positions 569 to 1077 of the family's 1831-position model. Lineage: Eukaryota; Fungi; Glomeromycota; Glomeromycetes; Glomerales; Glomeraceae. The record is from RNAcentral.